RNAcentral lists this transfer RNA (71 nucleotides) under Echiuropus macronychus. Its description in RNAcentral is "tRNA-Trp". Lineage: Eukaryota; Metazoa; Arthropoda; Malacostraca; Amphipoda; Acanthogammaridae. The record is from RNAcentral.
UAGACCUUAAGUUAUACAAACUAAAGGCCUUCAAAGCCUUAUAAGAGCCUCACUCAGGCCUUAGGUUUUAA